Molecule: long non-coding RNA, 257 nt
Filed under: Actinidia chinensis (golden kiwifruit)
Lineage: Eukaryota; Viridiplantae; Streptophyta; Magnoliopsida; Ericales; Actinidiaceae
Description: long non-coding RNA (ACHI_LNC003132)
Source: RNAcentral
CUCUCUCUCUCUCUCUCUCUCUCAAAACCAUUCGUUUCUUUUCCUUUCGUUUCCUUUUCCCCAUUGUCACGCCUCCCCCUUCUCUCUCUCUCUCUCUCUCUCUCUCACUUUCUCUCUCCAUAAAUCUCUCUUCCGUCUCUCUCUGUCUCCCCUCUCCUCUUCUCUCUCGUCUCUCUCUAGAAGGUUUAGGGGUUGUGCGUGAGAGAGAUGGGGCAACAGUCGCUGAUCUACAGCUUCGUGGCCAGGGGAACGGUGAU